CCCAGGGGGCGACCCAGGCU
RNAcentral lists this microRNA (20 nucleotides) under Sus scrofa (pig). Its description in RNAcentral is "ssc-miR-484". Its record names the gene ssc-miR-484. Lineage: Eukaryota; Metazoa; Chordata; Mammalia; Artiodactyla; Suidae. The record is from miRBase by way of RNAcentral.